Long non-coding RNA from Cavia porcellus (domestic guinea pig), 2197 nucleotides. RefSeq lists it as uncharacterized. The transcript is spliced from 2 exons. NCBI's taxonomy places the organism in Eukaryota, Metazoa, Chordata, Mammalia, Rodentia, Caviidae. The record is from RefSeq and is a predicted model, not a curated record.
CAGCAGCCCGCGCAGCAGCCCGCGCCUUCUCCUGGCCCAGCUGCUCGGUUCCUCCUUAGUCUCGGUACCCUCCGCCUUUCUUCCAUUCCUUUGGUUCCUCUACUUCCUCUCCAGGUCUUGCGCGCCAUCUAUAUUACCUUCCUGGGUAAACUCCGUUCUUUUCUUCUUGGUCACCAAAACCACAUGCUAAGUCUUAAUUAGCUCUUCUAAAAGAAAGCAGCCACUUCUGCGCCUCAGCACUCUCCACAGUACUCUAUUGCGUUGUGCAUAAAACACUCUCUCAUCAGGAGCUUGCCGGCCCCGGAUCCAUUUAGGUGAGCCGUUUGUGGAGAGCACAGGAUGAGUUCGAAGUCCAGCGUGAGAGGCACUGGGCAGAAGCACCCUGUGGUGCGACCAGGCCUGUAGUUUUAAUCUGGGCUUUGCAUUACUAGUAGAAGAGUGAAGGUGGGCUGAGGAGGAGACACUUGAGCAAGGACUUGACAUCUUUCAAGCGUCUGGCAUCUUUUGUGGUUCUGUGGGUUUCCUCAAAUGUCCUGUCCUUGAACAUCCUCAUCGCGUUCUGUACUCUCCUUUGCAGAUUCACUGUCAGCUUGUCUAUUAUUUCUACUGCCAUCUGGAAGAGACUUAUUCUUGAAUCCUUAUCUCCACUUGAGACAACAGAAUCAAUAGCUGGACCCUGUGUUAUAAAUGGCAGGGUUUGAAAUGCAUGGGGUCAGGGCCCCUGGAGGCCAAGAUCACAUCCACCCCUUUAGGAGGCUGCUGCACCCUCCAGGCUGCGGAUGGGGAUGGGAGGGAGGCAGGUGUGGACGUGCAAAGAAGUGGAGAGACACGGGUGUAUCUGCAAGACACAGGGAGGCGCACUGGGUUUCUGUUUGUUUUGCUGUUGGUGGAUGGUCAGAUAUGUUUCAGUCAGGUGAGAGUUUGAGAUUUUGACAUUUGGAUGAAAAUGUGAAAUCAUCCAUUGGACAGCUAACGUAGGGAUCUGGAAAUCAUCAGUGUGGCACCCAAACCAUGAGACUGUAUAAAAGUCAACUAGGGAGUGAGGACAAGGGACCCAAGUCUGAGCACUGGGCCUCAGUUUAAAAAAUAAAUUAGGAGGAAAAUAAAGAGGAAAUAUUGAGCAUCGUUCAUGGCAGGUUGCAAGCACUCAAUAAUGUCACCUUUAGUUUUCACUAAUCUGUUCCAGCUCUUUAACCUCAGCCUUUAUCCAAAUGUAACUGGUUAUAAUCUAUUUCCAUUCCUUUGACUUACGCUGAUGCCUUUACUGGCAAGACCUGCGUCCUCUUGCUAUAUCCCCUCUGUGCUGCCCAUCCUUGAACAAGGUUCAGUGCCUGGAAACCUUCCGAACCGUACUUCGUCAGUCCACCCUCCAGGCUGGUCUCUCCCCAGUUUGGGAUGACUAGGAACACGGCAAAGACCAUGAAACAUAAGCACCGUGAAUGGAUUCAGGACAUCGGGUCGCAGCCUCAACAGUGCGACUAAAUACACUCCCAGGAAAGGACUUCCAGAACUGCUCUAGAAAAUGGCAAGAGUGACGGCCUAAGUAUGAGCCAAGUGAGAGGGCUUGAAGGCAAUGUGUCUUUUACUGUAAUACAUUCAAAAGCAUUUUCAGCAUUCACCAUAUUUAUUGAUCACGCUUCUCUCUGCAUCCACCUUAUCCACUGGACAUGGCCCUGGGCAACCUGUACCGCUUCCCCAAAGGCAAAGACCAUGAAACAUAAGCACCGUGAAUGGAUUCAGGACAUCGGGUCGCAGCCUCAACAGUGCGACUAAAUACACUCCCAGGAAAGGACUUCCAGAACUGCUCUAGAAAAUGGCAAGAGUGACGGCCUAAGUAUGAGCCAAGUGAGAGGGCUUGAAGGCAAUGUGUCUUUUACUGUAAUACAUUCAAAAGCAUUUUCAGCAUUCACCAUAUUUAUUGAUCACGCUUCAUACAUCUAACCUCCCCCAAGUUCCUAGACAGCAGUAUCUUGAAUUUGUUUCAUUCCCCCUUACUUCACAGUUGCAUUAAAAUAUUCCUCCAAACUGGAAAAACCAGCUAUCUAAUUUGUCUUUCUUCUUCUGGGAACAAAGCUCAAGAUCUGAUACCUCUCUGGGGACAAAUCUUGUUUCUUUUGAGCCUCACCUCAAAAUAGGGCACACUAUAAGUGGACUGUACCAUUAAGAAUUGAAAUAAAAUUCACAAGUUACUUGUUGA